AUGGCCGUCGAUUCCGACAGAGGGGAGGGGGAUUUGGAGAUUGGGUUGGCGUCGCCGGGGUCGGAGGGAGGCGUUUCGCCCGUCGCCCCAGGCCGCCGGGCGCUCGAGUCCUGCCUCUCCGGGAAGCGCCUCGACCAGUCGCCGUCGCCGUCGCGGGCGGUCAGGCGCCCCGCGCUAGUCAUGUCCAGCUCCGGGAAGCGCCUCGACCAGUCGCCCUCGCCCUCGCGCCCGGUGCUGGCCAUGUCCCGCUCCAGCAACCGCCUGGACCAGCCGCCCGGCCGCCCGGUGCUGGCCAUGUCCCGCUCCAGCAACCGCCUCGACCACUCGCCGGCGUCGUCCUCGUCCCCGACGCCGGCCAAGGGGCCGGCGCUCGUCAUGUCCGGCUCCAGCAAGCGGCUGGAGCAGUCGCUCGCGUCCCCGUCGCCGUCGCCCAAGGCCGGCGCCGCGGCGCCGCCCGUGCUGGUGCUCUCCAACUCCGGCAAGCGGAUGGACCAGGCGGGGCGGAAGAAGUACGUUAAGCAGGUGACGGGCCGACACAACGACACGGAGCUCCACCUCGCCGCGCAGCGCGGGGACCUCGACGCCGUGCGCCAGAUCAUCGCCGAAAUCGACGCUCAGAUGACCGGCACCGGCGAGGAGUUCGACAGCGAGGUGGCGGAGAUUCGCGCCGCCGUGCUCAACGAGCCCAACGAGGUCGGGGAGACCGCGCUGCUCAUCGCCGCUGAGAAAGGGUUCAUCGACGUCGUCGUCGAGCUGCUCAAGCACUCUGACAAGGAGAGCCUUGCGAGGAAGAACAAAUCAGGAUUCGAUGCUCUGCACGUCGCUGCAAAGGAAGGCCACCGAGAUAUUGUGAAGGUACUCCUGGACCAUGAUCCAUCCCUUGGGAAGACGUUUGGCCAAUCAAAUGUGACUCCUCUGAUAACUGCGGCGAUUAGAGGCCACCUCGAGGUAGUGAACCUUCUGCUGGAGCGAGUUUCUGGGUUGGUUGAACUAUCAAAGGCGAACGGAAAGAAUGCAUUGCAUUUCGCUGCCCGUCAGGGGCAUGUUGAAAUAGUUAAGUCCUUGCUAGUCAGUGAAGCUCAGCUUGCUCGGAAGACUGAUAAGAAAGGACAGACCGCUUUGCACAUGGCGGUUAAAGGAACAAGCGCUGCGGUUGUUAGAGCACUCGUGAAUGCUGAUCCGGCCAUAGUUAUGCUACCUGACAAAAAUGGCAACUUAGCUUUGCAUGUUGCCACCAGGAAGAAAAGAUCAGAGAUUGUGAAUGAGCUUCUGCUUCUUCCGGACAUGAACGUGAAUGCGCUGACUAGGGAUCGCAAGACUGCAUUUGACAUAGCAGAGGGUCUUCCGCUAUCAGAAGAGUCUGCAGAUAUAAAGGAUUGUUUAUCCCGUGCUGGUGCAGUGAGAGCAAAUGAUCUGAAUCAGCCUCGGGAUGAGCUGAGAAAAACAGUGACUGAGAUCAAGAAGGACGUACACACUCAACUUGAGCAAGCCAGAAAAACCAACAAAAAUGUGCAUGGCAUAGCAAAGGAACUGAGGAAGCUCCACAGGGAAGGCAUCAACAAUGCAACAAACUCUGUCACAGUUGUGGCUGUGCUCUUCGCCACAGUUGCAUUUGCUGCGAUAUUCACGGUGCCAGGAGGCAACGACGACCAUGGUGUCGCAAUAGUUGUGCAUGCGGUGUCCUUCAAGGUCUUCUUCAUCUUCAACGCCAUCGCCUUGUUCACAUCAUUAGCAGUAGUGGUGGUGCAGAUAACACUUGUUAGGGGCGAGACGAAAGCAGAGAGGCGAGUUGUGGAGGUGAUCAACAAGUUGAUGUGGCUGGCUUCUGUAUGCACCACGGUGGCAUUCAUAUCCUCCUCUUACAUAGUGGUGGGUCGGCACUUCAAGUGGGCGGCGAUGCUGGUGACCCUCAUCGGCGGGGUGAUCAUGGCCAGUGUGCUCGGUACGAUGACAUACUAUGUGGUGAAGUCCAAGCGCACGCGAUCGAUUAGGAAGAAGGUGAAGUCAACAAGGCGGAGCGGCUCAAACUCAUGGAACCACAACUCGGAGUCAGAUUCCGAGAUAGACCGGAUAUACGCCAUAUGA
RNAcentral lists this ribosomal RNA (2085 nucleotides) under Triticum aestivum (bread wheat). Its description in RNAcentral is "partial small subunit ribosomal RNA". Lineage: Eukaryota; Viridiplantae; Streptophyta; Magnoliopsida; Poales; Poaceae. The record is from RNAcentral.